AUACGGAGGGUGCAAGCGUUACUCGGAGUCACUGGGCGUAAAGCGCGCGCAGGCGGUCUUUUAAGUUGGAUGUGAAAUCCUAUAGCUUAACUAUAGAACUGCAUCCAAAACUAUUAGACUAGAGUCUGGGAGAGGUAAGUGGAAUUAGUUGUGUAGGGGUAAAAUCCGUAGAGAUAACUAGGAAUACCAAAAGCGAAGGCAACUUACUGGAACAGUACUGACGCUGAGGCGCGAAAGCGUGGGGAGCAAACAGGAUUAGAAACCCGGGUAGUCC
Molecule: ribosomal RNA, 274 nt
Filed under: uncultured bacterium
Lineage: Bacteria
Description: partial 16S ribosomal RNA
Rfam family: Bacterial small subunit ribosomal RNA
Source: RNAcentral